CACCAAUCAACAAAACCAAAAAAAAAAUGUAAGUAACAAAAGAAAGAAAUA
Molecule: small RNA, 51 nt
Filed under: Arabidopsis thaliana (thale cress)
Lineage: Eukaryota; Viridiplantae; Streptophyta; Magnoliopsida; Brassicales; Brassicaceae
Description: ATSL019330
Source: RNAcentral